RNAcentral lists this ribosomal RNA (847 nucleotides) under uncultured bacterium. RNAcentral describes it as "bacterial SSU rRNA". It matches the Rfam family "Bacterial small subunit ribosomal RNA", at positions 28 to 897 of the family's 1533-position model. The record is from RNAcentral.
GAUGAACGCUGGCGGCGUGCCUAAUACAUGCAAGUCGAACGGUGAGUAGCAAUACUCAUAGUGGCGAACGGGUGAGUAACGCGUUGGUGACCUGCCCCAAAGUGGGGGAUAACAGUCCGAAAGGAUUGCUAAUACCCCAUGUGAACCGGCCUGUUAGAGAAGCUGGUUGAAAGGUGAAAAUCGCUUUGGGAGGGGCCUGCGUCCCAUCAGCUAGUUGGUAAGGUAAUGGCUUACCAAGGCAUCGACGGGUAGGGGACCUGAGAGGGUGACCCCCCACAAUGGAACUGAAACACGGUCCAUACACCUACGGGUGGCAGCAGUAGGGAAUAUUGCAUAAUGGGCGAAAGCCUGAUGCAGCAACGCCGCGUGCGCGAUGAAGGCCUUCGGGUCGUAAAGCGCUUUUUGAGGGGAUGAGGAAGGACAGUACCCUCAGAAUAAGUCUCGGCUAACUACGUGCCAGCAGCCGCGGUAAAACGUAGGAGGCAAGCGUUAUCCGGAUUUACUGGGCGUAAAGCGCGUGUAGGCGGUUCGUUAAGUUGGAUGUGAAAGCUCCCGGCUCAACUGGGAGAGGUCGUUCAAAACUGGCGAACUAGAGGGCAGUAGAGGGAGGCGGAAUUCCGGGUGUAGUGGUGAAAUGCGUAGAUAUCCGGAGGAACACCAGUGGCGAAAGCGGCCUCCUGGACUGCACCUGACGCUCAGACGCGAAAGCUAGGGUAGCAAACGGGAUUAGAGACCCCGGUAGUCCUAGCCGUAAACGAUGUAGACUUGGCGUCGGUGGGUUCAAAUCCAUCGGUGCCGCAGCUAACGCGAUAAGUCUACCGCCUGGGGACUACGGCCGCAAGGUUAA